Daucus carota subsp. sativus is the source of this 61-nucleotide non-coding RNA. Lineage: Eukaryota; Viridiplantae; Streptophyta; Magnoliopsida; Apiales; Apiaceae. The record is from Rfam.
GGCUUACACUUGAUCUCUGAAAUUCAGGUAAGUCCUGUUGACAACAUAACUUGCUGAUGCC